This 1332-nucleotide long non-coding RNA is filed under the name Zea mays. RNAcentral describes it as "long non-coding RNA (ZMAY_LNC001045)". The record is from RNAcentral. Lineage: Eukaryota; Viridiplantae; Streptophyta; Magnoliopsida; Poales; Poaceae.
GGACAUCCUCCACUAUUACCCAUUGGCAAAGACGCAAUUGGCCCAGUUGGCCCAAUUGUAGUCGGACGGCGACCAUGUGAGCCUCAGAAUUAUCACACCUCGCUUAACUUGGGAGGAGGAAGCCACUUUAAAAGGGAGAGCCACCCUUCCCCCAUUGGACUAGUCUUUUGGGGGCGAUUGAGCCUUUCCCUGAGUUGGGUGUGCUUAAUGAACUGUUGGGCUGCGGGCAACCCUAAUUUGUUGGUCCUCGGCCAACCCCACCUAGGCUGGAUGUAUCAUAUGGUAUCAAAGCUAGGGCCCAUUUUAAGAAGGUGGGAAUGAUGAGGACAUCCUCCACUAUUACCUGUUGGCAAAGACGCAAUUGGUCUAGUUGGCCCAAUUGUAGUAGGACGGUGACCGUGUGAGCCUCAGAAUUAUCCCACAUCGCUUAACUUGGGAGGAGGAAGCCACUUUAAAAGGGAGAGCCACCCUUCCCCAUUGGACUAGUUGUUUGGGGCGAUUGGGCCUUUCCCUGAGUUGGGUGUGCUUAAUGAACUGUUGGGCUCCGGGCAACCCUAACUUGUUGGGCCUCGGCCAACCCCACCUGGACUGGGUGUAUCAUCUGGUACCAAAGCUAGGGCCCAUUUUAAGAAGGUGGGAAUGAUGAGGACAUCCUCCACUAUUACUCGUUGGCAAAAGCGCAACUGGCCCAGUUGGCCCAAUUGUAGUCGGACGGUGACCGUGUGAGCCUCAGAAUUAUCCCACCUCACUUAACUUGGGAGGAGGAAGCCACUUUAAAAGGGAGAGACACCUUCCCCCAUUGGACUAGUCUUUUGGGGUGAUUGGGCCUUUCCCUGAGUUGUGUGUGCUUAAUGAACUGUGUGAGUUGUGUGUGCUUAAUGAACUGUUGGGCUCCGGGCAACCCUAAUUUGUUGGGCCUCGGCCAACCCCACCUGGGCUGGGUGUAUCAGUUGAACCUGUACUAAUGAUCAUCUUUAGUGCUGGUUUAUGUUUACAAUUGAUGCUAAAUAGAGAAUUUUAAUAUCGGUUCUUACAUGAACCAGUACUGAAGUCCUCUCUUAGUACCAGUUCAUAUAAAUAGGACUAAAGAUAGAGACUUUUAAUCCCAAAUGCCAAAUACUGGUUGAAAACUCGGUAUCGUAGCCGAUUCUCAAUCGUUAUAGAUGUUGCAUUCUUUAGCAGUGAGACAAGGUGUAUAGGAAGGAGAAGUGGUGUUGAGGUCGACAGUGACUAUACCUGGACAUGUGGGCCGGCCUGACCCGCCACAACAUAGGCCCACAAAAGCACGGCCCACAAAGGCAUGUCCUACAAAAGCAUAUCCCUAAUUAUGGG